This 1345-nucleotide ribosomal RNA is filed under the name uncultured bacterium. Its description in RNAcentral is "bacterial SSU rRNA". It matches the Rfam family "Bacterial small subunit ribosomal RNA", at positions 28 to 1381 of the family's 1533-position model. The record is from RNAcentral.
GAUGAACGCUAGCGGGAGGCCUAACACAUGCAAGCCGAGCGGUAUUGUUUCUUCGGAAAUGAGAGAGCGGCGUACGGGUGCGGAACACGUGUGCAACCUGCCUUUAUCUGGGGGAUAGCCUUUCGAAAGGAAGAUUAAUACUCCAUAAUAUAUUGAUUGGCAUCAAUUAAUAUUGAAAGCUCCGGCGGAUAGAGAUGGGCACGCGUAAGAUUAGCUAGUUGGUGAGGUAACGGCUCACCAAGGCGAUGAUCUUUAGGGGGCCUGAGAGGGUGAUCCCCCACACUGGUACUGAGACGCGGACCAGACUCCUACGGGAGGCAGCAGUGAGGAAUAUUGGUCAAUGGGUGCAAGCCUGAACCAGCCAUCCCGCGUGAAGGACGACUGCCCUAUGGGUUGUAAACUUCUUUUGUAUAGGGAUAAACCUACCCUCGUGAGGGUAGCUGAAGGUACUAUACGAAUAAGCACCGGCUAACUCCGUGCCAGCAGCCGCGGUAAUACGGAGGGUGCAAGCGUUAUCCGGAUUUAUUGGGUUUAAAGGGUCCGUAGGCGGACUUAUAAGUCAGUGGUGAAAGCCUGUCGCUUAACGAUAGAACUGCCAUUGAUACUGUAAGUCUUGAGUAUAUUUGAGGUAGCUGGAAUAAGUAGUGUAGCGGUGAAAUGCAUAGAUAUUACUUAGAACACCAAUUGCGAAGGCAGGUUACCAAGAUAUAACUGACGCUGAGGGACGAAAGCGUGGGGAGCGAACAGGAUUAGACACCCUGGUAGUCCACGCCGUAAACGAUGCUAACUCGUUUUUGGGCUUUAGGGUUCAGAGACCAAGCGAAAGUGAUAAGUUAGCCACCUGGGGAGUACGCUCGCAAGAGUGAAACUCAAAGGAAUUGACGGGGGCCCGCACAAGCGGUGGAUUAUGUGGUUUAAUUCGAUGAUACGCGAGGAACCUUACCAAGACUUAAAUGGGAAUUGACAGCUUUAGAAAUAGAGCUUUCUUCGGACAAUUUUCAAGGUGCUGCAUGGUUGUCGUCAGCUCGUGCCGUGAGGUGUUAGGUUAAGUCCUGCAACGAGCGCAACCCCUGUCACUAGUUGCCAUCAUUCAGUUGGGGACUCUAGUGAGACUGCCUACGCAAGUAGAGAGGAAGGUGGGGAUGACGUCAAAUCAUCACGGCCCUUACGUCUUGGGCCACACACGUAAUACAAUGGCCGGUACAGAGGGCAGCUACACAGCGAUGUGAUGCAAAUCUCGAAAGCCGGUCUCAGUUCGGAUUGGAGUCUGCAACUCGACUCUAUGAAGCUGGAAUCGCUAGUAAUCGCGCAUCAGCCAUGGCGCGGUGAAUACGUUCCCGGGCCU